AGGACGAACGCUGGCGGCGUGCUUAACACAUGCAAGUCGAGCGGAAAGGCCCUUCGGGGUACUCGAGCGGCGAACGGGUGAGUAACACGUGAGUAAUCUGCCUUCAGCUCUGGGAUAGCUCCGGGAAACCGGGAUUAAUACCGGAUAUGACCACUUCGGACAUCUGUUGUGGUGGAAAGUUUUUCGGCUGGAGAUGAGCUCGCGGCCUAUCAGCUUGUUGGUGGGGUAACGGCCUACCAAGGCGACGACGGGUAGCCGGCCUGAGAGGGCGACCGGCCACACUGGGACUGAGACACGGCCCAGACUCCUACGGGAGGCAGCAGUGGGGAAUAUUGCGCAAUGGGCGGAAGCCUGACGCAGCGACGCCGCGUGGGGGAUGAAGGCCUUCGGGUUGUAAACCCUUUCAGCAGGGACGAAGCGGAAGUGACGGUACCUGCAGAAGAAGCGCCGGCUAACGUACGCGCCAGCAGCCGC
This 474-nucleotide ribosomal RNA is filed under the name uncultured bacterium. Its description in RNAcentral is "SSU rRNA". It matches the Rfam family "Bacterial small subunit ribosomal RNA", at positions 26 to 518 of the family's 1533-position model. The record is from RNAcentral.